UUUAACACAUGCAAGUCGAACGGAAACGAAAAUAGCUUGCUAUUUGGCGUCGAGUGGCGAACGGGUGAGUAACGCGUAGAAAUCUACCCAGUAGAGGGGGAUAGCCCGAAGAAAUUCGGAUUAAUACCGCAUAAUCUCUACGGAGUAAAGAAGGCCUCUUUACAAUGCUUUUACUAUUGGAUGAGCCUGCGUUAGAUUAGUUAGUUGGUAGGGUAAAAGCCUACCAAGGCGACGAUCUAUAGCUGGUUUUACGAGAAUGAUCAGCCACACUGGAACUGAGACACGGUCCAGACUCCUACGGGAGGCAGCAGUGAAGAAUAUUGGACAAUGGGGGAAACCCUGAUCCAGCAAUGUUGCGUGUGUGAAGAAGGUCCGAGGAUUGUAAAGCACUUUCAGUAAGCAAGAAAAGUGUAAAUCUAAUAGAUUUGCAUGUUGACCACUUAUAGAAGAAGCACCGGCUAACUCCGUGCCAGCAGCCGCGGUAAUACGGAGGGUGCGAGCGUUAAUCGGAAUUACUGGGCGUAAAGGGUAAGUAGGCGGUUUANUAAGUCACAUGUGAAAGCCCUAGGCUUAACCUANGAAGUGCA
RNAcentral lists this ribosomal RNA (587 nucleotides) under uncultured bacterium. Its description in RNAcentral is "bacterial SSU rRNA". It matches the Rfam family "Bacterial small subunit ribosomal RNA", at positions 47 to 625 of the family's 1533-position model. The record is from RNAcentral.